This 408-nucleotide ribosomal RNA is filed under the name uncultured rumen bacterium. Its description in RNAcentral is "bacterial SSU rRNA". It matches the Rfam family "Bacterial small subunit ribosomal RNA", at positions 354 to 776 of the family's 1533-position model. The record is from RNAcentral.
GUGGGGAAUAUUGGGCAAUGGGCGCAAGCCUGACCCAGCAACGCCGCGUGAAGGAAGAAGGCUUUCGGGUUGUAAACUUCUUUUAUCAGGGACGAAGAACGUGACGGUACCUGAUGAAUAAGCCACGGCUAACUACGUGCCAGCAGCCGCGGUAAUACGUAGGUGGCGAGCGUUGUCCGGAUUUACUGGGUGUAAAGGGCGCGUAGGCGGGAAGGCAAGUCAGGUGUGAAAUCUAUGGGCUCAACCCAUAAACUGCACUUGAAACUGUUUUUCUUGAGUGUCGGAGAGGUAGAUGGAAUUCCUAGUGUAGCGGUGAAAUGCGUAGAUAUUAGGAGGAACACCAGUGGCGAAGGCGAUCUACUGGACGAUAACUGACGCUGAGGCGCGAAAGCGUGGGGAGCAAACAGG